Molecule: ribosomal RNA, 450 nt
Filed under: uncultured bacterium
Lineage: Bacteria
Description: bacterial SSU rRNA
Rfam family: Bacterial small subunit ribosomal RNA
Source: RNAcentral
GUGGGGAAUAUUGGACAAUGGGCGAAAGCCUGAUCCAGCCAUGCCGCGUGUGUGAAGAAGGUCUUCGGAUUGUAAAGCACUUUAAGUUGGGAGGAAGGGCAGUAAGUUAAUACCUUGCUGUUUUGACGUUACCGACAGAAUAAGCACCGGCUAACUUCGUGCCAGCAGCCGCGGUAAUACGAAGGGUGCAAGCGUUAAUCGGAAUUACUGGGCGUAAAGCGCGCGUAGGUGGUUUUGUAAGUUGGAGGUGAAAUCCCCGGGCUCAACCUGGGAACUGCCUCCAAAACUGCAUGACUAGAGUACGGUAGAGGGUAGUGGAAUUUCCUGUGUAGCGGUGAAAUGCGUAGAUAUAGGAAGGAACACCAGUGGCGAAGGCGACUACCUGGACUGAUACUGACACUGAGGUGCGAAAGCGUGGGGAGCAAACAGGAUUAGAAACCCCAGUAGUCC